RNAcentral lists this ribosomal RNA (492 nucleotides) under uncultured bacterium. RNAcentral describes it as "partial 16S ribosomal RNA". It matches the Rfam family "Bacterial small subunit ribosomal RNA", at positions 29 to 507 of the family's 1533-position model. The record is from RNAcentral.
AGUGAACGCUGGCGGUAGGCCUAACACAUGCAAGUCGAACGGCAGCACAGUAAGAGCUUGCUCUUACGGGUGGCGAGUGGCGGACGGGUGAGGAGUACAUCGGAAUCUACUUUUUCGUGGGGGAUAACGUAGGGAAACUUACGCUAAUACCGCAUACGACCUACGGGUGAAAGCAGGGGAUCUUCGGACCUUGCGCGAUUGAAUGAGCCGAUGUCGGAUUAGCUAGUUGGCGGGGUAAAGGCCCACCAAGGCGACGAUCCGUAGCUGGUCUGAGAGGAUGAUCAGCCACACUGGAACUGAGACACGGACCAGACUCCUACGGGAGGCAGCAGUGGGGAAUAUUGGACAAUGGGCGCAAGCCUGAUCCAGCCAUACCGCGUGGGUGAAGAAGGCCUUCGGGUUGUAAAGCCCUUUUGUUGGGAAAGAAAAGCAGCAGGUUAAUACCCCGCUGUUCUGACGGUACCCAAAGAAUAAGCACCGGCUAACUUCGUG